Camelina sativa (false flax) is the source of this 949-nucleotide long non-coding RNA. RefSeq lists it as uncharacterized. The record is from RefSeq and is a predicted model, not a curated record. Lineage: Eukaryota; Viridiplantae; Streptophyta; Magnoliopsida; Brassicales; Brassicaceae.
AACGCGGAAAAUUAAUUCAUUUGCCGGCUAAGUAUUUGGGUUAAAAACAUAAAAAAAUCAAAGGGGCUAAGAAAUUUUUGUUCUCCCCCUCAAUGGCUCAAUCCAUUGUUUCACUUAAGUUUAUUUUUCUUACUAUCUCUGUUUAUCUUCUCAAAACAACCUUUCAACUCUUGUUAACUCUUUCAUUACCAGUUCACCAGAUUUAGAAUCAAGUUUCUCCCCCCCUCCCCAACAAAAUCCCUAACCUAGAUUCAAAGCCACAUGAGUCUUCUUCCUCUUAUCCACCGAGCAAAACCCUAGUUACAGCUUCUUCAUUAAAUACAGAUCUGUAUCAUGUUGUUGCCCUCCUAUUCACUCUCCGUUUCGAAAUCAAACCAUAGCCAACGUUGAUGCAAGCGAGAUAGAGAUUCACUCAAGGGGUAUGAGAAAUUGAAUCGACAAGGUUCACGGUGGCUAGAUUAAUGGAUCUAGACAGAGUAACUAAGAGGUGUCUCAGAUGAAGUGUUACAGGCUGGUUACGCCGGAGUAAUACAAGCUCCAUGGUACGUAUUAGUGUAGAUUUGCAUUAGUCUCUCGUAAUUCCGAUGUGUUCAUAAGGUUAUUGGGGCGGUAAGUGGUUUAAAGAACUCAACGGUGAGCUCGAUCUCCUUCGUGUCGCCGAAGUGUUCGGUACUCAAAACAAGUGUUUCUAUGUUAACAUGGGAAAGUGACGUCUGUCUCAACAAGCUAGUCUCUGGCGAAGUUAUUUGUGACCACAAAAGGUUUUACGACACCGUUGGUUUGAUUCGUUUGAAGUAAGAAGACAUGUGCUGAGUGAAGCCUGAUAAUUUGAAGUGAUUACAAGUCAUGGUGAAGAUGGAAACAUGUAAAGUUUGUAAAAAGUUGUUGCUUGCGUUUAUUUGAACUUAUGCGUGUGUCUUUGUGACAAUUAAUAACGUGUUUUGAUAUA